CUGAUUUUAUGUAGGGAGGUAAUCGAAUGUUCUGUCCUCUGUAGCUGCAAUAUUUUUCCUCAUUCGACUUGCUACUGUAUUUGUGCCGGAGAACAAUAAUAUGAUGCUUUGAACGGUUUGUGAUCUUGCAUAUGCCUUCUGAAACCACCCAUAGGAUUAAUUCCCUGCACCAAGAUUUGCUAGACGCUUGGAAGUAGAAAUGCAACAGGAAACAGAACAAUAAGCAACCAGAAUGAGAAAUCCACCACCUGAGUGCUGAUACCAGCAUUUAUGUCACGCCCCGAACCCCGAGCGCGCGCACAUCCCACUGCGGUCGAUAAAAAAAUGCGACAUCCCAGGAUAUGUCGCCGACCCAUUCAUUUCUUUACGCAUGCGGAAGCGAAACAAAUCCCCUGACAACAUUUAACUUGGGAUAGAAAAGCAGGCAAUCAAUCACAAUACCAAACACUCAUUUACAAACACAAAAGGGGUUUAAAUACAACACUGGACUUUCUACAAAAUAGACCAGCUCGACAAAAGGGGGGAUUAUCCUACAACCAACUAGCAGGACACGCUCUUCAACCCUUAUGACUUCACCUCUGCAACUCCUCAAGGCCAACCAAAGCUAUAUGGCCGCUCCGUCCACCAGGGACCUGAAAUUUUAAUCCCACAACCGGGAUGAGACGAUGUCUCAGCAAGUUCAACCCCCUAAACCCCUAUUAGAAAGAAAAUACGCCCCGGGUGGCCUAGCCACAUCACACAGAAGACUUACCUCGCCUCAGCCCUUAUCUGCAGGUUAGCACAAUUUAUAUAAACCAAUCACGUGCAAUUAUGAUAACCAAACAACCAUGGCACAAUCACAUCAUCAAACCAUUCAACCACUUGGAUCGUCUCAGCGAUCAAUCGACUCGGCCGAUUUCAUGUCAUUCUAGCAAAUCAAUCAUUGCUCUCAACUACGGCCCUACUCGGCAAAUUUAAAUCAGUGGCAUCACGGCCCCACUCGGCGCGACCUUUAACAGGUGGCAAUUCACGGCCCCAUUGGGCGCGACCUCUAAUAGGUGGCAUAUCACGGCCUCAUCGGGCACGACCUCUAAUAGGUGGUUUAUCACGGCCUCUCUGGGCACGACCUCUUAGAGGUGGUUUAUCACGGCCUCUCUGGGCACGACCUUUCACAGGUGGUUUAUCACGGCCUCUCUGGGCACGACCUCUUAGAGGUGGUUUAUCACGGCCUCUCUGGGCACGACCUCUAAUAGGUGGUAUUUCACGGCCUCAUCGGGCACGACCUCUUGUAGGUGGUUUUUCACGGCCUCAUCGGGCACGACCUUUCCAAGGUGGUUUAUCACGGCCUCUCUGGGCACGACCUCUAAUAGGUGGUAUUUCACAGCCAAUCUCCCAUCAGUUUCUACACUUAGGAUUUCAUAAAGAAUCCCUAUAAAUCACAAUCACACUCAAUUCAUCACAAUCAAUCAUCAAUUUCACAUUCUACAAGCAUAGCAACAAUCGGCACGAAAUUCUGAGCAAAUAAGGUCCCAAUGAAAAUUUUCGGAAUUUAAUAAAUAAUUAAAUUUAUUCCGAGAAUAAUUAAAUAAUAAUAUCCAUAGUUUUCGAAAUCCACACUCAAUUUAUAAUAUCCAAUCAUCAAUUUCAAAUUCCGACUACACAGCAACGACCGGCACGAAAUUCUGAGAAUUUAAGGUCUCGACAAAAUUUUCGGAAUUUAAUAAAUAAUUUAAUUUAUUCCGAAAAUAAUUAAAUAAUAAUAUUUUAUUAAUUUCGAAUAAAAUAUAUUAUUAAAUUAUAUAAUAAUUUCGAGACAUUUAAAUAAAUCAAAAGUAAAUUAAUUUAUGCCAAAUCAAGGCUUAUUUUAAAUAAACCUACUUACCCUUAAUUAAGCACACUUUAAAUUAAACCACAACCUUAAUCAAGUCUACUCUUAAUUAACCUAAACUAACAACCUAAUAAUGCUUAACAUAAACUAAACCUCCCUAAGCAUAAUUAACCCUCUAAGCGAGGUUUAGUGAGCUAAACUCACCGGAUUAGUGAGCCGAGCGGACCAAAACGACGAGGGCGACGCGAGGAUCGACUUUCCUCAAAGCGGGCCGAGCAUCCGGGCUCGGGAAGGCGGCCAAAACGGGCCAAGAAGGGGCUGCCAUACCCAUUUUCUGCGGCUGCUGUCCAUGGCGGUUUGAGGCCGAGAAUGGGCGGAUCCGGCGCCGGUUGAGGCGCACAAGGGCCGAGGGACUUCCGGCGAGCUGAGGCGGGGGCGCAUGGCGGCUCACGGCGGCGGGGACGAGCUCCGGCAGCUCCCGGAACCCACGAACCGAGACUGAGACGCAGCUGGGCGUCGGCCAAGCGCGGGCGAGCGCGGGCGGACGGGCAGCGACGGCGACGCACAGCAGCGGCGAGCAAGCGGCGAACGGGGACAGGCGGAGGCGUGCGACGGCUCCGGGCAACGUUGGCUGCUGCUUCUGCUUGGCGUCCGACCAGAUCUGAGAUCUCGAGCAGCAAACGGAAGGGGAGAAAGGAGGCGGAGCAGCACACCUGCGGGCGAGUGGAGCGGCGAACGGCGACGGCGUGACCUCCGGCUGGCGUUCAAGCGGCGACGAGCGAAGGGGGGGGAGGUCGGCCGAGCUUCUGGUUCGCACGGCCUCUCUCUCCCUCUCUCCCUCUCUCUCUCUCUCUUCCCUCCCUUUCCAAGUUCCAAGACUCCCUUGAUUCAAGGAGGAAGAUGAUGGUGAUGGGUCACCUUUUCUCGGGCAAAUCUCCACCGUCCACGUGUCAAGAUCUCAACCAUUGGCCUCAACUACCAUGACAUCAUCUCAUGUCAUACCCCACUAUCUCCAAACCUUCCACAACAUUUUCCAAUGGU
RNAcentral lists this long non-coding RNA (2848 nucleotides) under Eucalyptus grandis. RNAcentral's name for it is "long non-coding RNA (EGRA_LNC005367)". The record is from RNAcentral. Lineage: Eukaryota; Viridiplantae; Streptophyta; Magnoliopsida; Myrtales; Myrtaceae.